UAGAGGCUGAUGAGGGGACUGAAAAUGAUCUUAGACUAAAAAUUUUACUUAUAAUGAUGCUCUUAACAUGUAAUUCAUUUCUUAUCAUCUGAUAAAAUAUCUCUCUUUAUCUAUCAAUUUUUCUAUCAGUCAAUACCUCUCCAUCCACCUCUAUCUUUAUGGAAAUUGAAAAGUCAAAACAAAUUUACAAAAAAUAAAAGAAGAGAACAAUAUAAUGGGGGCUAAGAAGUUAUCUCUUUAAAUAAUUGACAAUAACAUGUAGACAAAUGAAAGCAAAGUGUCACAAGUUGAAAAGGAAUAGAGUCAAAUGUUAAAUAACAAUUCAUUAAGAUAAGGAAAGUAUAAGAAAGGGGUCUAAUACUCCCAGUGACAGUCCUUGCAUUAUGGGGCACAGAUGACAGAGUGAGUACCCAAAUGAUAGCACAUUUUUCCAUACUCUUGAAGAAAAUAAUAGAGUUUUGUGUAGUACAAUGGAACUAAUGCAUAGUUUUCUUUUUCUAUUAUUAUUUGAAUAUUUUUCAAAAAACUUUUAAUUGAAAUUAAUGUUAAUUCCUCAAAAGCAUAGAAGAGGGUAAUAUCAAAACUACAAAGGCUCUAGCCUUCAAGUGAAUUUAUAAACUAUAAUAGUUUGUUCAUCUGUUCAUUAUUACAUUAGAGAUCUGUAGUUUUCCAUUACUUUAAAAUGCUAUAUGUUGAUUUUAUGUAAGGGAUAAACAAAUAAACUAGAGUAAAGAAGUAGACAGGAAAAUAAAUGACAGACGAGUGCCUGUUCUAGAAGUCCUUUAACUUUUGUUCUCCUUUCUAAGAUUGUUUCAUAGCCUUGGGGCUUCUCCCAAGCUGAGUGUGUACCCUAUUUGUGAUAUGGAGAACUUAGAAAUUACAGUACACUGGGGACACAAAUGCAACUGUCUGCCUUCAUAACAUCAACAGCUGUGGAGCCAAGGAGGAAAAGAAAAAAGAGCAGAAUAUAUCAUGGAUACAUGUAUUAUCUGGUUGCAGAUUCAGUUCCUUGCUUUAUCAGAAG
Monodelphis domestica (gray short-tailed opossum) is the source of this 1024-nucleotide long non-coding RNA. Lineage: Eukaryota; Metazoa; Chordata; Mammalia; Didelphimorphia; Didelphidae. The record is from Ensembl.